Molecule: long non-coding RNA, 489 nt
Filed under: Pan troglodytes (chimpanzee)
Lineage: Eukaryota; Metazoa; Chordata; Mammalia; Primates; Hominidae
Description: lincRNA
Source: RNAcentral
GCGCAAACAUGAGUAACAUGGCCCUGCUCUGGAGACUACUGGGAACACAAACACAGCCAUUUAAGACAUCUCCCUGCUUCUCCUUUGCCUUCCAUCAUGACUGAAAGUUGUCUGAGGUCUCCCAGCCAUGUGUCCUGUACAGCCUGUGGAACUGUCACGCUGAAUUCGGACACUGGAGAAGAGAAAGGAGAAGGCCAUUCUGGCUACCCUAGGACUCACAGACGACUUUAAAGAAGAAUCAGAAAAUGGAGACUGGGAUUGGAAGCAGAGAUCCGAUGGCCAAAUUACAGAGUCUGCCACUGAAGCUAACACACCUAUGGUUUCAGAGUAUUCUUUAGUCUCUUCCAACAUGUGAGGGCACAGUGAAAGGAAGGCCCUCUAUGGAGCAGAAUGUGGGCCCUUACCAACACUGAGUCUUUCAUUGCCUUGACCUUUAACUUCCCGGCCUUCACAACAGUGAGAAAUAAAUUUCUGUAGUUUAUAAGCCAA